UGAGGUUAAGUGACUAAGCGUACACGGUGGAUGCCUAGGCAGUCAGAGGCGAUGAAGGACGUGCUAAUCUGCGAAAAGCGUCGGUAAGCUGAUAUGAAGCGUUAUUAGCCGGCGAUGUCCGAAUGGGGAAACCCAGUGCAAUUCGUUGCACUAUCAUUGCGUGAAUCCAUAGCGCAAUGAGGCGAACCGGGGGAACUGAAACAUCUCAGUACCCCGAGGAAAAGAAAUCAACCGAGAUUCCCCCAGUAGCGGCGAGCGAACGGGGAACAGCCCAGAACCACCAUCAGCUUUUGCAUCAGGAGAACGGUCUGGAAAGUCCGGCGACAGAGGGUGAUAGCCCCGUAUCCGAAGGUGCAGAAGUUGUGGGUUCGAUGAGUAGGGCGGGACACGUGAUAUCCUGUCUGAAGAUGGGGGGACCAUCCUCCAAGGCUAAAUACUCCUGACUGACCGAUAGUGAACCAGUACCGUGAGGGAAAGGCGAAAAGAACCCCGGCGAGGGGAGUGAAACAGAACCUGAAACCGUGUACGUACAAGCAGUGGGAGCCUUGAGAAAUCGGGGUGACUGCGUACCUUUUGUAUAAUGGGUCAGCGACUUAUAUUCUGUAGCAAGGUUAACCGCAUAGGGGAGCCGUAGGGAAACCGAGUCUUAACUGGGCGCACAGUUGCAGGGUAUAGACCCGAAACCCGGUGAUCUAGCCAUGGGCAGGUUGAAGGUUGGGUAACACUAACUGGAGGACCGAACCGACUAAUGUUGAAAAAUUAGCGGAUGACUUGUGGCUGGGGGUGAAAGGCCAAUCAAACCGGGAGAUAGCUGGUUCUCCCCGAAAGCUAUUUAGGUAGCGCCUCGUGAAUUCAUCUUCGGGGGUAGAGCACUGUUUCGGCUAGGGGUCCACCCCGGAUUACCAACCCGAUGCAAACUGCGAAUACCGAAGAAUGUUAUCACGGGAGACACACGGCGGGUGCUAACGUCCGUCGUGAAGAGGGAAACAACCCAGACCGCCGGCUAAGGUCCCAAAGUCAUGGUUAAGUGGGAAACGAUGUGGGAAGGCAUAGACAGCCAGGAUGUUGGCUUAGAAGCAGCCAUCAUUUAAAGAAAGCGUAAUAGCUCACUGGUCGAGUCGGCCUGCGCGGAAGAUGUAACGGGGCUAAACCAUGCACCGAAGCCGCGGCAGCGGACAUAUCACUUAAAAUGCUUAAGUGAACAGGCACAGCGGUGUUGAGGUUCGGACAGGCGACUGCCGGAUACCCGCAGCGCGAGAGUGUGCCAAUGGGGUCGAAUCGGCCAUUUUUAGGCCGACCGAGCGCCCCAUGGCGCGGUAGGCGCGCGACACGUCGGGCUAAACGACGACGAGACGACGCCAAGACUUGCCGAAGGCAUUUUAAGGAUAUGUCCGUUGGGUAGGGGAGCGUUCUGUAAGCCUGAGAAGGUGGCCUGUGAGGGUUGCUGGAGGUAUCAGAAGUGCGAAUGCUGACAUAAGUAACGAUAAAGCGGGUGAAAAGCCCGCUCGCCGGAAGACCAAGGGUUCCUGUUCAACGUUAAUCGGAGCAGGGUGAGUCGACCCCUAAGGCGAGGCCGAAAGGCGUAGUCGAUGGGAAACAGGUUAAUAUUCCUGUACUGGGUGUGACUGCGAAGGGGGGACGGAGAAAGCUAGACCGGCCGGGCGACGGUUGUCCCGGUUCAAGCGUGCAGGUGGAGAGGACAGGAAAAUCCGUUCUCUUAUCAACACUGAGGCGUGAUGACGAGCCACUACGGUGGUGAAGGGGUUGAUGCUACGCUUCCAGGAAAAGCCUCUAAGCACCAGGUCACAUCGAAUCGUACCCCAAACCGACACAGGUGGUCAGGUAGAGAAUACCGAGGCGCUUGAGAGAACUCGGGUGAAGGAACUAGGCAAAAUGGUGCCGUAACUUCGGGAGAAGGCACGCUGGCAUUAGGUGGAGGGACUUGCUCCCCGAGCUGAAGCCAGUCGCAGAUACCAGCUGGCUGCAACUGUUUAUUAAAAACACAGCACUGUGCAAACACGAAAGUGGACGUAUACGGUGUGACGCCUGCCCGGUGCCGGAAGGUUAAUUGAUGGGGUUAUCCGCAAGGAGAAGCUCUUGAUCGAAGCCCCGGUAAACGGCGGCCGUAACUAUAACGGUCCUAAGGUAGCGAAAUUCCUUGUCGGGUAAGUUCCGACCUGCACGAAUGGCGUAAUGAUGGCCAGGCUGUCUCCACCCGAGACUCAGUGAAAUUGAACUCGCUGUGAAGAUGCAGUGUACCCGCGGCAAGACGGAAAGACCCCGUGAACCUUUACUAUAGCUUGACACUGAACAUUGAGCCUUGAUGUGUAGGAUAGGUGGGAGGCUUUGAAGUAGGGACGCCAGUCCUUAUGGAGCCAACCUUGAAAUACCACCCUUUAAUGUUUGAUGUUCUAACUCCGGCCCGUAAUCCGGGUCGAGGACAGUGUCUGGUGGGUAGUUUGACUGGGGCGGUCUCCUCCUAAAGAGUAACGGAGGAGCACGAAGGUUAGCUAAUCACGGUCGGACAUCGUGAGGUUAGUGCAAAGGCAUAAGCUAGCUUGACUGCGAGAGUGACGGCUCGAGCAGGUGCGAAAGCAGGUCUUAGUGAUCCGGUGGUUCUGAAUGGAAGGGCCAUCGCUCAACGGAUAAAAGGUACUCCGGGGAUAACAGGCUGAUACCGCCCAAGAGUUCAUAUCGACGGCGGUGUUUGGCACCUCGAUGUCGGCUCAUCACAUCCUGGGGCUGAAGUAGGUCCCAAGGGUAUGGCUGUUCGCCAUUUAAAGUGGUACGCGAGCUGGGUUUAGAACGUCGUGAGACAGUUCGGUCCCUAUCUGCCGUGGGCGUUGGAAGAUUGAGAGGGGCUGCUCCUAGUACGAGAGGACCGGAGUGGACGCACCACUGGUGUUCGGGUUGUCAUGCCAAUGGCAUUGCCCGGUAGCUACGUGCGGAAGAGAUAACCGCUGAAAGCAUCUAAGCGGGAAACUUGCCUCGAGAUGAGUCUUCCCUGUGGCUUUAGGCCGCCUGAAGGGACGUUAAAGACGAUGACGUUGAUAGGUCGGGUGUGUAAGCGCAGCGAUGCGUUGAGCUAACCGAUACUAAUGACCCGUGAGACUUAACCUU
This is a ribosomal RNA of 3120 nucleotides. It matches the Rfam family "Bacterial large subunit ribosomal RNA".